CGGCUGUUAACAGAGGACCUGCGCAGCCAAGCCUUCAUCACAGCGAGCGUCGUCACGGCUUGCUUCCACUCGUCGAGCAUCGUAAACGCUCGCCAAGUAGGUGCCCAAGCUGGCGAGUGUGGCGCAUGCCUAGAAAAGUUAACUGUUUGUUCAGUUCCACUAAUUAGCGCUCGCUACGAUUGUUAUCUACAUUUCAAAAUUAAUUUUGUUUCUUAGCUGUUAGCCCGAGGUUUCGUGGGCAUAGCUUGCGGCUACAUGGGUCUUCUCCGUGCCGGAACCGAAGAGGACGGGCCACAUGUGCGGGGUGGCGGCGCAUAUAGCUUCAGACUUGGCGAAUUGCGGGCAGGCUAGCUGACAGCCGUCCUCUUUCGACUGCGUCAGGGACAUGGACCCUUCCCAAGUGCCUUGCGACCCGACCCCACUUUUUCGUGACAAGGUAGCCCGGGCGCGUCAGGGCUAUCGAGCGAAAUGUGGAAUCACGGAAGCAAAUCGCAUUCGGAAAUUGACUCGCCAGCUUUACUAAUCCUGUUAAUGCAGCCCUCGACGCCGGAUGUCGCCUGCGGUGUUCAUCGGAGCACGGCCGGGCAGAAGCUACAGUAAGCGUCCCGUACCGCGGCCUACCGUGUUUCCGUGUUGGUAUGGUCUAGUGGUCCUGCACUACUACGGGGUCCCGAGGUCCGCUUUCGAGAUUGCGGACCACGAGUAGUACCACGAGUGUUACUGUCCUUGCUACGUUCCAGAGUACAACUCGUACCGUGGUCUAGUGUUCCCUCACCACUGGGGUCUCGCUGGUAGGCGAGACCUUGGUCAUCUCCAUGCACUACUACGUGAUUUUGACAUCUGCUUUCGAUGGUGGCCUACGAGUGGAAAGGAUAUCCAGCGUGCUGCUUCACAUUUGCCAUCCUCCCAACGUCCCCCACAGGAGAUGACCUUGAGCACCACUCGUAUACUGUGGCUGACCGCGUUGGCUUCAUUGAAAUUCCACACCCAUGAUGUCCUGCUGGCAGCCGUGACUUCGUUUGGAGCCUUGCUAC
This 1034-nucleotide long non-coding RNA is filed under the name Dermacentor andersoni. RNAcentral describes it as "uncharacterized LOC126532431". Lineage: Eukaryota; Metazoa; Arthropoda; Arachnida; Ixodida; Ixodidae. The record is from RNAcentral.